GCAGAGAACCGGGCGAUCGCGCGUUCCGACCUGGGGCGACCCGGCGGAACGGGAGGAAAGUCCGGGCACCGAAGGGCAGGAUGCUGGGCAACGCCCAGGGGGAGCGAUCCCACGGAAAGUGCCACAGAAAACAGACCGCCUUGGGGCUUGAGUUCCAGGGUAAGGGUGAAACGGCGGGGUAAGAGCCCACCGCGCGUCCGGCGACGGGCGUGGCAUGGUAAACCCCAUCCGGUGCAAGGUCACAUAGGAACGAACGAGAUGGCCCGUCUCAUUUGACGUUCGGGUAGGCUGCAUGAGGCAGGGGGUAACUCUUGUCCCAGAGAGAUGAUCGCCCCUUCGACCCUCAGCUUCUGGGGGACGAAGGACAGAACCCGGCUUACAGGUUCUCUGCUUGC
RNAcentral lists this RNase P RNA (395 nucleotides) under Candidatus Latescibacterota bacterium. RNAcentral describes it as "RNase P RNA component class A". It matches the Rfam family "Bacterial RNase P class A". From Rfam's summary of the family: Ribonuclease P (RNase P) is a ubiquitous endoribonuclease, found in archaea, bacteria and eukarya as well as chloroplasts and mitochondria. Its best characterised activity is the generation of mature 5'-ends of tRNAs by cleaving the 5'-leader elements of precursor-tRNAs. The record is from RNAcentral. Lineage: Bacteria; Pseudomonadati; Candidatus Latescibacterota.